AGCUCGUCCCACAUCUGCUCGAGGAAGGCCUUGUUGCAGUGGAAAUUGCGGUUCCAGAUGGCCGGGCGCUCCUCGAUGUCGUGAAUAAACUGCUCCACAUUGAGCACAAUGGUGGACUUUUUUGGCGCCAUCUUAGCGCUCUCAAAGUGAUUGACUAACGGUGAAUUGCAAUUGCAUGCUCCAACGGCACACACACGCACUCACGCACACCACUAUACAAACUCACUGAGAGAAAUGAGAGGAACGAAGAGCAUUAGUCGGCUUCUUGACCACUCACUAAAGCCAUCCCGCUCCCACCCACCCACGAGUUAGUUGCGAUCCCCGACCAUCAAUGAGCAGCCAGUACUCUCCAAACUGUUAACACAAUAACUUCAUUAAGAUUCCUUCCUUGGGCUUAGGCCCAAAAUCGAGCUGGGCGACAGGAAAUGCCGCACUGCUCGCUCUGCUCCCCAUCGUCCAUCUUCUCCCUCCCUCGCAUUCUGCUCCCCAGCCAGAAGCAAAUGAAGAAGAGGACGCGGCAGGAAAGAAGCAGCGAAAUCAAAUUAUAAACACGCCAGGGCGGAGGAGAGGGCACGGGCAGACAGGAACAGACGGCGAUGAGCGACGACCGAGAGACCAACCAGCCAACGGUUACUCCACGAGCCUGCCUGCCAGCCACUCUGCCCCGCUGCACCCCGCUCCCACUACCGAUAACGCUGCCGGUUCCGCUGACUCUGUCUCUCCCUGCUCACCGCCCGCCCUCAAUGCACUGGAUACACUUGGGAAAACAGGUCAAUGAUUUAGGUAUUUCAUUUCAGAAAUCGUCAUUUUCAAAAUUACUUUAUAACUUAAGAAUAACAU
Drosophila melanogaster (fruit fly) is the source of this 840-nucleotide non-coding RNA. Lineage: Eukaryota; Metazoa; Arthropoda; Insecta; Diptera; Drosophilidae. The record is from Ensembl.